ACUACGGGAGGCAGCAGUGAGGAAUAUUGGUCAAUGGGCGUAAGCCUGAACCAGCCAAGUCGCGUGAGGGACGACGGCCCUACGGGUUGUAAACCUCUUUUGCCGGGGGACAAACGGUGGGACGCGUGCCGUGCUGAGGGUACCCGGAGAAAAAGCAUCGGCUAACUCCGGGCCAGCCGCCGCGGUAAUACGGAGGAUGCGAGCGUUAUCCGGAUUUAUUGGGGUUAAAGGGUGCGCCGGCGGGUUGCGAAGUCAGCGGUCAAAUACGGGGGCGCAACCUGCGCCCGCCGUUGAGACUGGCGUUCUUGAGUGGGCGAGAAGUACGCGGAAUGCGUGGUGUAGCGGUGAAAUGCAUAGAUAUCACGCAGAACCCCGAUUGCGAAGGCAGCAUGCCGGCGCCCGACUGACGCUGAGGCACGAAAGCGUGGGUAUCGAACAGGAUUAGAUACCCGGGUAGUC
RNAcentral lists this ribosomal RNA (459 nucleotides) under uncultured bacterium. RNAcentral's name for it is "partial 16S ribosomal RNA". It matches the Rfam family "Bacterial small subunit ribosomal RNA", at positions 338 to 795 of the family's 1533-position model. The record is from RNAcentral.